RNAcentral lists this ribosomal RNA (168 nucleotides) under uncultured bacterium. RNAcentral's name for it is "partial 16S ribosomal RNA". It matches the Rfam family "Bacterial small subunit ribosomal RNA", at positions 338 to 524 of the family's 1533-position model. The record is from RNAcentral.
CCUACGGGAGGCAGCAGUGGGGAAUCUUGGACAAUGGGCGCAACCCUGAUGCAGCAACGCCGCGUGAGGAUGACGCAUUUCGGUGUGUAAACUCCUUUUAUCAGAGAAGAAAAUGACGGUAUCUGAUGAAUAAGCUCCGGCUAACUCCGUGCCAGCAGCCGCGGUAAU